This 3523-nucleotide long non-coding RNA is filed under the name Medicago truncatula (barrel medic). RNAcentral describes it as "long non-coding RNA (MTRU_LNC006542)". The record is from RNAcentral. Lineage: Eukaryota; Viridiplantae; Streptophyta; Magnoliopsida; Fabales; Fabaceae.
UCGCCUUCAAACACCAACAUAUGACCAUGUCCCUGUUGCGUCUGAGCCGUCAUGGAUCGACCAUCCAAAUCACAAACACAGCAUCCAAAAAAAAGUGGACUUGUAUGCCGGUUGGAAAGCUACAUCCACAUUGCACUUAAAUCCACAUGCUGGUAUUUCCCAUGCUACGUUGCGCUGCUCGCUAGUUAACCCUCCCAUUGAGUGGAAUGUUGGUCUGAACCCUCACAUCAUUUCAUUCCACUGCUUCCACCCAUCUAACGCUUUACGCCCCACAGAUACAGUUUGUUGACGAAUAUCGUUACACACUGCAUCAUUUCUUGCUGCCCAUAACUUCCAAAGAAGCAUUAUGUAGCAUUAGACAAAGGAAAGAGGAAUGCAAUUUGCAAAACAAUAGUCGCGCAUAUGACAAUCAAUGUAGUUGUGCAAAAUUAAGUUCUUUGGCGUUUGAAGAAGAGUUUUCCAUGUCACACUUAUCUACUAUUUGAAGUGCUUUUUACCCAAACUUGCGUUAACCUUGAAGCUAGUAAUGUAGCUUAUGCGUCAUAAUGAAUUGAUUUUAGAUUUAUUGAUGGCUUAUACUUUUUUAUCGUUCUCUUUGAUACCACUACGAUUUACAAAAAAGUUUGUGAUUCUUUGGAAGAAAAUACUCCCUCCGUCCCAAACUGUAUGAUGUUUUAGACAUUUCACUUGUAUUAAGAAAUGUAAUUAAUAUUGUGUGGGAAAUAGAUAUUAUGAGUUGUUUUACAAAAUUAUCCUCAAUAAACGAUAUGAGAAAGAUAAAUAAAGGAAUUGAAAAAAGAAAGAGUAAUAAAUAGUUAAGAAUAUAAUAGGAAAAAUAACAUUAAUAUUUCAUUGGUAUUGUAAAGUGACAUACAAUUUAGGACAAUUUUUUUUUCUCUCUAAAAUGACAUACAAUUUGGGAUGGAGGGAGUAAUACGUUAAUGUUUGUAUUUAUGGUCUUUUAUUUUUUAAAAAUGUUAAUCGGUGUCCAAGAGGUAUUAGUUAAUGAAUUAAGAAGAAGAGUGUUCCUAGCAAGAGAGUGUUCAUAGUAUUUCUCAUGAAUUAAAUAUACUUCCUUCAUCCCUAUAUGUUAAUCAGUGCACCGAUGAAAAGUCAAAUUUUGUAUUGAAAAAAACACUUUUUUAACUUUUUAAAAGUAUAAUUUACAAUUUCCGAGACAAUAUUUCCUUUUAUAAUCCCUUAAUCAGUGUCUCGGUUAACAUUUCCCUUACUUUUUUCACAUUUCUUAAGAAAAGUUGUUAGUGUAAUUAAUGUGUCUAUUUUGUGUGUUAAUAUUAUCAAAUUGUCAUUUGUUUGUAUGUGUAUUAAAUUUGUCUUUGCAUAUUUCAAAACAAGUAAUUUAAUGGCGUAUUGUAUUGUUUAAUGGCGCAUAUUAUUUAAUCCGUUUAAAUUUUUAAUGUGUAUUAAUUUUACUUGUGAUAUACUCCAUCCGUUUUUAAAAUCCGUUUCUACGACAAUUGUAUUGUUUGUAACUUGUGAUAUAUUAUUAUCUCACAAGUAAUUUGUAUGUAGGGAUGUUAUUGUCGUUUGCAAAAUAAUAUUAAUUUUUUCUUCUAUCAUUCUAUCUGUUUCUCUUCUCUUUUUCGUACUAAACCACCUCCCAAAUUUACUCUAUUUUUCUUUAGAAAAUGCUAACCAUUGCUCUUGGGGCAUUGGAUAAAGGAACAUCAAUAAAAAUUUUGUGUUGGAAAAUAAUAAAAAAUUGUCAAGUUAAUUUGUAAAAAAUUUAUAAAUUGUUGUUUCCAAUGUAAAACUAAUAAUUUUGGUUACACGUCAAUGGUUAGCAAGACCCUUUCUCUUUUAUAUCUCUCUUCUUAUUAUUUCUCACAUUUUUCUCUCUUCUUAAUUUCUCUUCACAACCAAACAAAGCCUUAACAAUGUGAUCAUAAUCCUCGUCUAAACAAAAAAAAUAAAAUCAUCCACCUAACCCUUUAAAAGAUAUUCACAUACUCCCUCCGACCUACAUACCAAUGCAUAUUUUUUUAUCUUGAAUAUCUUUAAUUAUCUAUUUGAAAAAAUUAUGAAAAAUUAAUAUUUUAAAAAUAUUAAUCGAGACAAAUUCAAUAUAUUAUAUGAUAUUAUUUAUCUUUAUAUAUUAAUAAAAAAAAUAUGGUCAAAGUAUAAUCAAAUCAACAGUAUACAUCAUCAAACAUAUCAUCUAAUAUGAGACGGAGUAAGUAUUUUUUAGAGGGAAAAAAAAUUCUAAAUCAAUGGCUUUUAAAUCUACCAUAGACAUUUGUUAGUAUGACUUCUAAAAAAAUAAAAAAAAUAUUUUAAUCGUGUAGUCUGCACUCUGGACAGGUUGGAAUUGGGCAUUAUUGAUUGGAGUCAAAAUGAUGACGAACAUUAUAACCAGUCUCACGCAUCCAAGUGUAGCUCAACCUAGUUACGUCAUUACUGUAACGUCACUACUCACCAAUAGCUUGACACCGUCUUCAUUCAUGUACGCGCUCACCUCACUCGUCUUUCUAUAUAUAAUAAUAUAAUCACACUACAGACCUUAAUAAACACGACACGGCAUUACGCAACGUCAAUACCUAACACAGACAUUGAUCAAGCACUAUUUUUUUCUUUUUCAUAUAUGGAAAAAAAGAAGAAUGAAGUAAGGAAUGACCUCAACGACAAGCAGGAAGAAGAAGAAGAAGAGAUGGAAAUAGAGAAGUUUUGCUCGCUGCUAAGAAGCUUCCGUGACGCCCGUGAUCGAUUGCGCCGGAGGGAAUCAGAAUUACAUGAUCAGCUGGAAAAAUACGAGAGCAACAAGAAAAAGAUGAAAACAGAGCCGCCUUGUUUUCAAUUGCAGGACUUUACUACAGAUAUUCAAUUCAGAAAACUACCUUUGAAUUUUCUCAACCCAGUUGCAAAUUACACAAUCGUAGAUAAUAACAAAGUUGAGAAGAAGGAACAUACCCUUGACCUCAAACUUGCUCUUUAAUCUUGCAUUCAUCAUUCAUGAUCGUCUUGUUUUAAUUAAUUACGUUAUUUAUGCUUUUUCUGUCUACCUAGCUAUUCCUUGUACAUAUAAUAUAAUAUAAUAUUCAUGUAUUGAAGAAAUCAUAUAUAUCUUCAUCUAUCAUCUAUGUUAUGUAAUUUCUUAAUUUGUAAGUUUUUUUUUUUUCAAGUAUAUGGUACGAAUGUGAAAUUAAGAGAUUUUCAAACACAGAAAUUAAGAAUAUCGUCAGAUUGAAGCAAGAGGGGCAGAGCCGAAGGAUUCAGAGUCAAACAAUGGAAAACUGAGUUGUAGUUGGUUAGUUACUUGUGACAUAGGCGAAUCUGUAUGGACCUUUGUCAUAUUUAUUACGACAAACCUAUGAAACCCGGAUAUAAGUACAGAUGCGAGUACGAUACGGAUAUGCCAAUAGGCAAAUUUUUUUAAAUUUAGGAUACGUUAACAAAAAUUCUAUAAUAAAACUUAAAUAUAUGUAAAAUACUUGAAGAAAAUAAACAUUGAUUACUCUUCAUAAUUAUCUUAUUAUAAAUGUCACAAUUUUAAAAAAUAAUAAAU